GAUGAACGCUGGCGGCGUGCUUAAUACAUGCAAGUCGAGCGAAGCACUUUAACGGAAUUCUUCGGAAGGAAGGUAAAGUGACUGAGCGGGCGACGGGUGAAGGUACGCGUGAGCAAUCUGCCUUUCAGAGGGGGAUAACAGCCGGAAACGGCUGCUAAUACCGCAUAAUGCAUCGAAUUCGCAUGUUUUUGAUGCCAAAGAUUUUAUCGCUGAAAGAUGAGCUCGCGUCUGAUUAGCUAGUUGGCGGGGUAACGGCCCACCAAGGCGACGAUCAGUAGCCGGACUGAGAGGUUGAACGGCCACAUUGGGACUGAGACACGGCCCAG
This 326-nucleotide ribosomal RNA is filed under the name uncultured bacterium. RNAcentral's name for it is "bacterial SSU rRNA". It matches the Rfam family "Bacterial small subunit ribosomal RNA", at positions 28 to 334 of the family's 1533-position model. The record is from RNAcentral.